This 440-nucleotide ribosomal RNA is filed under the name uncultured bacterium. RNAcentral's name for it is "partial 16S ribosomal RNA". It matches the Rfam family "Bacterial small subunit ribosomal RNA", at positions 338 to 795 of the family's 1533-position model. The record is from RNAcentral.
CCUACGGGUGGCAGCAGUGGGGAAUAUUGCACAAUGGGGGAAACCCUGAUGCAGCGACGCCGCGUGAGUGAAGAAGUAAUUCGUUAUGUAAAGCUCUAUCAGCAGGGAAGAAAAUGACGGUACCUGAGUCAGAAGCCCCGGCUCACUACGUGCCAGCAGCCGCGGUAAUACGUAGGGGGCAAGCGUUAUCCGGAUUUACUGGGUGUAAAGGGAGCGUAGACGGCAGUGCAAGUCUGGAGUGAAAGGCGGGGGCGCAACCCCCGGACUGCUCUGGAAACUGUACGGCUGGAGUGCAGGAGAGGUAAGUGGAAGUCCGAGUGUAGCGGUGAAAUGCGUAGAUAUUAGGAGGAACACCAGUGGCGAAGGCGGCUUACUGGACUGUAACUGACGUUGAGGCUCGAAAGCGUGGGGAGCAAACAGGAUUAGAUAUCCGGGUAGUC